This 255-nucleotide ribosomal RNA is filed under the name uncultured bacterium. Its description in RNAcentral is "partial 16S ribosomal RNA". It matches the Rfam family "Bacterial small subunit ribosomal RNA", at positions 524 to 776 of the family's 1533-position model. The record is from RNAcentral.
UACGGAGGGAGCUAGCGUUGUUCGGAAUUACUGGGCGUAAAGCGCACGUAGGCGGCUUUGUAAGUUAGAAGUGAAAGCCCGGGGCUCAACCCCGGAAUUGCCUUUAAGACUGCAUCGCUUGAAUCCGGGAGAGGUGAGUGGAAUUCCGAGUGUAGAGGUGAAAUUCGUAGAUAUUGGGAAGAACACCGGUGGCGAAGGCGGCUAUCUGGACUGACAUUGACGCUGAGGCGCGAAAAGCGUGGGGGAGCAAACAGG